Molecule: ribosomal RNA, 460 nt
Filed under: uncultured bacterium
Lineage: Bacteria
Description: partial 16S ribosomal RNA
Rfam family: Bacterial small subunit ribosomal RNA
Source: RNAcentral
CCUACGGGGGGCUGUAGUGAGGAAUAUUGGUCAAUGGACGAGAGUCUGAACCAGCCAAGUAGCGUGAAGGAUGACUGCCCUAUGGGUUGUAAGCUUCUUUUAUAGAGGAAUAAAACGAGGCACGUGUGCCUUUUUGCAUGUACUUUAUGAAUGAGGAUCGGCUAACUCCGUGCCAGCAGCCGCGGUAAUACGGAGGAUCCGAGCGUUAUCCGGAUUUAUUGGGUUUAAGGGGAGCGUAGAUGGGUUGUUAAGUCAGUUGUGAAAGUUUGCGGCUCAACCGUAAAAUUGCAAUUGAGACUGGCAGGCUGGAGUACAGUUGAGGUAGGCGGAAUUCGUGGUGUAGCGGUGAAAUGCGUAGAUAUCACGAAGAACCCCGAUUGCGAAGGCAGCUUACUAAACUGUGACUGACAUUGAGGCUCGAAAGCGUGGGUAUCAAACAGGAUUAGAUACCCGGGUAGUC